This 405-nucleotide ribosomal RNA is filed under the name uncultured Frankiales bacterium. RNAcentral's name for it is "bacterial SSU rRNA". It matches the Rfam family "Bacterial small subunit ribosomal RNA", at positions 354 to 776 of the family's 1533-position model. The record is from RNAcentral. Lineage: Bacteria; Bacillati; Actinomycetota; Actinomycetes; Frankiales.
GUGGGGAAUAUUGCGCAAUGGGCGGAAGCCUGACGCAGCGACGCCGCGUGGGGGAUGACGGCCUUCGGGUUGUAAACCUCUUUCAGCAGGGACGAACCUGACGGUACCUGCAGAAGAAGCACCGGCCAACUACGUGCCAGCAGCCGCGGUAAUACGUAGGGUGCAAGCGUUGUCCGGAAUUAUUGGGCGUAAAGAGCUCGUAGGCGGUCUGUCGCGUCGGCUGUGAAAACUCGGGGCUCAACCCCGGGCCUGCAGUCGAUACGGGCAGACUAGAGUUCGGUAGGGGAGACUGGAAUUCCUGGUGUAGCGGUGAAAUGCGCAGAUAUCAGGAGGAACACCGGUGGCGAAGGCGGGUCUCUGGGCCGAUACUGACGCUGAGGAGCGAAAGCGUGGGGAGCGAACAGG